This 554-nucleotide ribosomal RNA is filed under the name uncultured ciliate. RNAcentral's name for it is "SSU rRNA". It matches the Rfam family "Eukaryotic small subunit ribosomal RNA", at positions 4 to 565 of the family's 1831-position model. The record is from RNAcentral. Lineage: Eukaryota; Ciliophora.
CUGGUUGAUCCUGCCAGUAGUCAUAUGCUUGUCUCAAAGACUAAGCCAUGCAUGUCUAAGUAUAAAUGUUAUACAGUGAAACUGCGAAUGGCUCAUUAAAACAGUUAUAGUUUAUUUGAUAAUCGAAUUUACAUGGAUAACCGUGGUAAUUCUAGAGCUAAUACAUGCUGGUUAGCCUGACUUCGAGGAAGGGCUGUAUUUAUUAGAUAACAAACCAAUAUUCUUCGUGUCUAUUGUGAUGACUCAUAAUAACUGAUCGAAUCGCAUGGUCCUUGACCGCGAUAAAUCAUUCAAGUUUCUGCCCCAUCAGCUUUCGAUGGUAGUGUAUUGGACUACCAUGGCUUUAACGGGUAACGGAGGAUUAGGGUUCGAUUCCGGAGAGGGAGCCUGAGAAACGGCUACCACAUCUAAGGAAGGCAGCAGGCGCGUAAAUUACCCAAUCCUGACUCAGGGAGGUAGUGACAAGAAAUAACGGACCGAGGCUUCACGCUUCGGGAUUGCAAUGAGUAGAAUUUAAACCCCUUUACGAGGAUCAAUUGGAGGGCAAGUCUGGU